RNAcentral lists this ribosomal RNA (596 nucleotides) under uncultured archaeon. RNAcentral describes it as "bacterial SSU rRNA". It matches the Rfam family "Archaeal small subunit ribosomal RNA", at positions 83 to 682 of the family's 1478-position model. The record is from RNAcentral.
GCACGGCUCAGUAACACGUAGUCAACCUACCCUGGGGACGGGGAUAACCUCGGGAAACUGAGGCUAAACCCCGAUGGGCCAUGGCUCCUGGAAUGGGCUAUGGCUGAAAUCUACAUGGCCCCAGGAUGGGACUGCGGCCGAUCAGGUUGUUGGUGGGGUAAUGGCCCACCAAGCCUAUAACCGGUGCGGGCUCUGAGAGGAGGAGCCCGGAGAUGGGCACUGAGACAAGGGCCCAGGUCCUAUGGGGCGCAGCAGGCGCGAAACCUCCGCAAUGGGCGAAAGCCCGACGGGGUCAGUCCGAGUGGUUCCCGCUGAGGGAACCUUUUGCCAGCUGUAAACAGGCUGGCGAAUAAGGGGUGGGCAAGUUUGGUGUCAGCCGCCGCGGUAAUACCAGCACCCCGAGUGGUCGGGACGAUUAUUGGGCCUAAAGCAUCCGUAGCCGGCCCAGUAAGUCCUCCGUUAAAUCCAACGGCUCAACCGUUGGGCUGCGGGGGAUACUGCUGGGCUAGGGGACGGAAGAGGCGAGGGGUAUUCCCGGGGUAGGGGUAAAAUCCACUGAUCCCGGGAGGACCACCAGUGGCGAAGGCGCCUCGCUA